AAAUAUCAGGAGGGAAGGAGCCUGGCGUAUCUCAAUUGGAAGCUUAUUCCCAAGACUGGGGGCUACCACUUAAAAGAAAAUAACAGAUGGUCAGAAGAGCUCCAUAGAUAAGAACUCCCAAGUUUGGUAUCUGGCUGAGGAGAAAGAGUUGGAAGGUAAUUGAAGGCAGCAACCGCUCCCGAGCAAUCUCUAAGUGUUCCUAUGGAAGAGGCAUUAUGACUGUACACCCUCCACUUACUUCAUUCCUUUGUCUAAAUGGCAGCUUCUGUGAUGAACAAAGAAACAGUUUUCUGCUCUUCUUGUCACUGCCACGUCCAC
This is a non-coding RNA of Pogona vitticeps (central bearded dragon), 318 nucleotides long. The record is from RefSeq and is a predicted model, not a curated record. Lineage: Eukaryota; Metazoa; Chordata; Lepidosauria; Squamata; Agamidae.